CAGUAGCCGCGGUAAUACGGAGGGUCCGAGCGUUAAUCGGAAUUACUGGGCGUAAAGCGUGCGCAGGCGGUUUGUUAAGCGAGAUGUGAAAGGCCUGGGCUCAACCUAGGAAUAGCAUUUCGAACUGGCGAACUAGAGUCUUGUAGAGGGGGGUAGAAUUCCAGGUGUAGCGGUGAAAUGCGUAGAGAUCUGGAGGAAUACCGGUGGCGAAGGCGGCCCCCUGGACAAAGACUGACGCUCAUGCACGAAAGCGUGGGGAGCAAACAGGAUUAGAUACCCCUGUAGUCCCUGUCUCUAUACC
This 301-nucleotide ribosomal RNA is filed under the name uncultured bacterium. RNAcentral describes it as "partial 16S ribosomal RNA". It matches the Rfam family "Bacterial small subunit ribosomal RNA", at positions 509 to 808 of the family's 1533-position model. The record is from RNAcentral.